RNAcentral lists this ribosomal RNA (253 nucleotides) under uncultured bacterium. RNAcentral's name for it is "partial 16S ribosomal RNA". It matches the Rfam family "Bacterial small subunit ribosomal RNA", at positions 524 to 776 of the family's 1533-position model. The record is from RNAcentral.
UACGGAGGGGGCUAGCGUUGUUCGGAAUUACUGGGCGUAAAGGGCGCGUAGGCGGCGAUUCAAGUCAGGCGUGAAAGGCCUGGGCUCAACCCGGGAACUGCGUUUGAUACUGGAUUGCUCGAGUCCGGGAGAGGAUGGCGGAAUUCCCAGUGUAGAGGUGAAAUUCGUAGAUAUUGGGAAGAACACCGGUGGCGAAGGCGGCCAUCUGGACCGGAACUGACGCUGAGGCGCGAAAGCGUGGGGAGCAAACAGG